GACGAACGCUGGCGGCGUGCUUAACACAUGCAAGUCGAACGGAAAGGCCCCUUUGGGGUACUCGAGUGGCGAACGGGUGAGUAACACGUGAGUAACCUGCCCUUGACUUCGGGAUAACUUCAGGAAACUGGGGCUAAUACCGGAUAGGAAUCCUUGCUGCAUGGUGGGGGUUGGAAAGCUUCGGCGGUUUUGGAUGGACUCGCGGCUUAUCAGCUUGUUGGUGGGGUAGUGGCUUACCAAGGCUUUGACAGGUAGCCGGCCUGAGAGGGCGACCGGCCACAUUGGGACUGAGAUACGGCCCAGACUCCUACGGGAGGCAGCAGUGGGGAAUAUUGCACAAUGGGCGGAAGCCUGAUGCAGCAACGCCGCGGGCGGGAGGACGGCCUUCGGGUUGUAAACCGCUUUCAGCAGGGGCGAAGCUUGUGGUGACGGUACCUGCAGAAGAAGCACCGGCUAACUACGUG
RNAcentral lists this ribosomal RNA (464 nucleotides) under uncultured bacterium. Its description in RNAcentral is "partial 16S ribosomal RNA". It matches the Rfam family "Bacterial small subunit ribosomal RNA", at positions 28 to 507 of the family's 1533-position model. The record is from RNAcentral.